Molecule: long non-coding RNA, 528 nt
Filed under: Olea europaea subsp. europaea
Lineage: Eukaryota; Viridiplantae; Streptophyta; Magnoliopsida; Lamiales; Oleaceae
Source: RNAcentral
AGUGAAGAAUUUUCCAGAUCCGAAACAAGAUCUUUCCUUAUCUUUAACCAAACCUAAUCUCAAAAUAUUCAAAACAAACAAGAAAGAAAGAGAGAUUGAAAUAUUCAUGAAAUCUUUACCUUGGAUUAAUUAUGUUUGAAAAUCCGAUUUCAAAUCUGUAAUACUUUAAUCCUCCCGGAUGAAACAAUCGCAAAAGAAAAGAUGAAAACGAAGAAUCGAUGUUGAUUUUUGUCGAAGAAUCAGAGAAAAGUUGAAAACGGGUGAAUUAUCCUUCGGUUUAUCGGAGAAAGUGGAGACCUAGGGUUCGAGUACGUGAGCUCUUGAUCUAAUCUUCAACUUCUGUUCUGCAAUCCCAAGAAAAUUGAAGGGAAAAAAAAAAAAAAGAAACCUAAUACUAUAAAAUUUUCACAUUUUUUUUUUCUCAUUCAAACAAGAGAUCAGAUGAACUGUUAAAAAUCAGAAAAAAUAAAUUAUACCAAAUGUACAGAGAAGUGGAGAUCAUUGUCACUGAGUACGUUAGAUACAAAA